GUGGGGAAUAUUGGGCAAUGGGCGAAAGCCUGACCCAGCAACGCCGCGUGAGGGAAGAAGGUUUUCGGAUUGUAAACCUCUGUCCUUGGUGACGAACACAAUGACGGUAGCCAAGGAGGAAGCCCCGGCUAACUACGUGCCAGCAGCCGCGGUAAUACGUAGGGGGCAAGCGUUGUCCGGAAUGACUGGGCGUAAAGGGCGUGUAGGCGGCCGAUUAAGUCUGGAGUGAAAGUCCUGCUUUCAAGGUGGGAAUUGCUUUGGAGACUGGUUGGCUUGAGUGCGGAAGAGGCAAGUGGAAUUCCCAGUGUAGCGGUGAAAUGCGUAGAGAUUGGGAGGAACACCAGUGGCGAAGGCGACUUGCUGGGCCGUAACUGACGCUGAGGCGCGAAAGCGUGGGGAGCGAACAGGAUUAGAUACCCGAGUAGUCC
This 428-nucleotide ribosomal RNA is filed under the name uncultured bacterium. RNAcentral's name for it is "partial 16S ribosomal RNA". It matches the Rfam family "Bacterial small subunit ribosomal RNA", at positions 354 to 796 of the family's 1533-position model. The record is from RNAcentral.